RNAcentral lists this ribosomal RNA (425 nucleotides) under uncultured bacterium. RNAcentral describes it as "partial 16S ribosomal RNA". It matches the Rfam family "Bacterial small subunit ribosomal RNA", at positions 354 to 796 of the family's 1533-position model. The record is from RNAcentral.
GUGAGGAAUUUUGCGCAAUGGGGGCAACCCUGACGCAGCGACGCCGCGUGGAGGACGAAGUCUUUCGGGAUGUAAACUCCUGUCAGUGGGGACGAUAAUGACGGUACCCACAGAGGAAGCACCGGCUAACUCCGUGCCAGCAGCCGCGGUAAUACGUAGGUGGCGAGCGUUGUCCGGAAUUACUGGGCGUAAAGGAUGCGUAGGUGGAUACUUAAGUGGGAUGUGAAAUCCCCGGGCUCAACCCGGGAACUGCAUUCCAAACUGGGUAUCUAGAGUGCAGGAGAGGAAAGCGGAAUUCCUAGUGUAGCGGUGAAAUGCGUAGAUAUUAGGAGGAACACCAGUGGCGAAGGCGGCUUUCUGGACUGUAACUGACACUGAGGCAUGAAAGCGUGGGUAGCAAACAGGAUUAGAAACCCUGGUAGUCC